GACAGAGGGUGCAAACGUUUGUUCGGAAUUACUGGGCGUAAAGCGCGUGUAGGCUGCUUGGAAAGUCGGAUGUGAAAGCCCCGGGCUCAACCUGGGAAGUGCAUUCGAAACUUCCGAGCUGGAGUCCUGGAGAGGAAGGCGGAAUUCUCGGUGUAGAGGUGAAAUUCGUAGAUAUCGAGAGGAACACCGGUGGCGAAGGCGGCCUUCUGGACAGUGGACUGACGCUGAGACGCGAAAGCGUGGGGAGCAAACAGG
This 255-nucleotide ribosomal RNA is filed under the name uncultured bacterium. Its description in RNAcentral is "partial 16S ribosomal RNA". It matches the Rfam family "Bacterial small subunit ribosomal RNA", at positions 524 to 776 of the family's 1533-position model. The record is from RNAcentral.